This 543-nucleotide ribosomal RNA is filed under the name uncultured bacterium. Its description in RNAcentral is "bacterial SSU rRNA". It matches the Rfam family "Bacterial small subunit ribosomal RNA", at positions 353 to 896 of the family's 1533-position model. The record is from RNAcentral.
AGUGAGGAAUCUUGCGCAAUGGAGGAAACUCUGACGCAGCCACGCCGCGUGCCGGAAGACGGCCCUAUGGGUUGUAAACGGCUUUUGUUCGGGAAGAAAGUACGGGUUUUGAUCUGUAUUGACGGUACCGAUUGAAUAAGCACCGGCUAACUCCGUGCCAGCAGCCGCGGUAAUACGGAGGGUGCAAGCGUUGUCCGGAAUCAUUGGGUGUAAAGGGUGCGUAGGCUGGUGUCUAAGUCUGGGGUGAAAUUUUGCCGCUUAACGGUAACAUGGCCUUGGAUACUGGAUGCCUUGAAUCUGACAGAGGUCGGUGGAAUUCGUAGUGUAGCGGUGAAAUGCAUAGAUAUUACGAAGAACACCAGUGGCGAAGGCGGCCGGCUGGGUCAGUAUUGACGCUGAGGCACGAGAGCGUGGGGAGCGAACAGGAUUAGAUACCCUGGUAGUCCACGCUGUAAACGAUGUAUGCUAGUUGUUGGGCCUUCGGGUUCAGUGACGCAGUUAACGCAGUAAGCAUACCACCUGGGGAGUACGUUCGCAAGAAUG